CAGCAGUCUGCGUGGCCGGCGUGUCUUCUUCUCUUCACUAGGUUAAGGACCAGUAACGUUGUUGAGCUGCCGUGUAUGAUAGCCGCAGCGUGUCUUGCUCGUAGUUUUUCUACCGCUGGACUGCUCUCUGAAACCGCAGGUUAUGCCACCCGAAAGACUUCCUGGAUCCCCAGCCGUGAAAGAGAAGGGCUGAUCCCCGUCCUCCCCCAGGUUCCUGUGGCUUUGCACCCCAACUUUCCCUCCUUCCCUCUCCUGCUUAUUCCCUUCUCCCAACAGCACUAACCCCCACCCGACUCCUACACCCACACCCGACCGGUCAUCCUUUACCUCACGCACUGUUGGUCCAGUCACGUCCCUCUCCGCAGCGUCUCCAUACCCAGGCUCUCUGUUGAGUCUUACCCCAGCCACGCUAGCCGUCUCUUCUGCAGCCCCCUGCCCUCAUCAUAGAGCCAAUCUCCCCCCCACUGGCUGAACGCCAGGCCCCAUGGCUACAGGAGGUCAUGCCCCAGAGGUAGAUGUGUUGAUCAACCUACAACAGGUGAAGGUGGAGGAGGAAGAUGAGGAAGGGUCCGUGGAGGAACUGGAGGAAGAGGAGGAGGAGGAGAACUGGGAGAAAGCCCUGUCUGUGGAGCGCUUUGGAGACAUCAUCAGUGACUCUGCUUCUACCAGUGGAGACAGGAUGGGUCGUCACUACACUGAGAAAGACUUUGAAUGUAAGCCAAGCUACCAUGUAUUUUGUACAAGUAUCAUAUAGACAUUGUACCUACAA
This 769-nucleotide long non-coding RNA is filed under the name Sander lucioperca (pikeperch). RNAcentral describes it as "lncRNA (ENSSLUG00000004768.1)". The record is from RNAcentral. Lineage: Eukaryota; Metazoa; Chordata; Actinopteri; Perciformes; Percidae.